AUGUGUUAUUUCGAAGUGUGCAGCACCUCCAAAAAAGAGGUGAAAUAUGGUCAUUCUGUAGCACAGAAGAUAAUCUUCCAGUACACAAUUCCAGUGAAAGAUACAACAUACUGGAAAGGCAGUGGGCUUGGUAAAGUCGCCAGCCAGCCAGCUUACAUGAUGUCUCCUGCUGACCAAUCCAUGAAGAAACAGUUAUCCCUGACAGAAGCUGUUUGUUUUAUUUCAAAGCCUCAGUGGUCCCGGCUCCUUCCUGCCCAAGAGCAGCAGCAGUAAACUCCAUUCUUCCUCCUUGCCUGGCCCUUGGAAGAGAUUGCCUGCUGGCCCACGAGAAUGGUUUUCUGUAAUUGGCUUCUAGGGAAUGCUGUAUGGGAGUAU
Molecule: long non-coding RNA, 375 nt
Filed under: Apteryx owenii (little spotted kiwi)
Lineage: Eukaryota; Metazoa; Chordata; Aves; Apterygiformes; Apterygidae
Description: lncRNA (ENSAOWG00000006654.1)
Source: RNAcentral